This 528-nucleotide long non-coding RNA is filed under the name Salmo salar (Atlantic salmon). Its description in RNAcentral is "lncRNA (ENSSSAG00000106319.1)". Lineage: Eukaryota; Metazoa; Chordata; Actinopteri; Salmoniformes; Salmonidae. The record is from RNAcentral.
ACUCGUCAUAAACGUUGAUAAAAUAUUAAACUGUUAUUCAAAGAAUUAUAGAUGAACAUCUCCUUUAUGCAACCGCUGUGACAGAUUUCAAUAAAGCUUUACUGGGAAAGCACACUUUGCAAUAAUCUGAGUACGGCGCUCAGAAACAUACACCAGGCAAUACAGAUACCCGCCAUUUUGGAAUGAAGAGGAGAGGCCGUGUACUGGCUGAUUUAGGAGAGAUGAAGGGGAGAGGCUGAUUUAGGAGAGAUGAAGAGGAGAGGCUGAUUUAGGAGAGAUGAAGAGGAGAGGCUGAUUUAGGAGAGAUGAAGAGGAGAGGCUGAUUUAGGAGAGAUGAAGAGGAGAGGCUGAUUUAGGAGAGAUGAAGAGGAGAGGCUGUGUACUGUCUGAUUUAGGAGAGAUGAAGAGGAGAGGCUGAUUUAGGAGAGAUGAAGAGGAGAGGCUGUGUACUGUGACAGCGUGACAGGUGCAAGAGUAGCUCUGUUUGUUAUACUGUACUUUAGAUGGAGGCUGGGCCUCCUCCUGUGG